RNAcentral lists this ribosomal RNA (322 nucleotides) under uncultured eukaryote. RNAcentral's name for it is "partial 18S ribosomal RNA". It matches the Rfam family "Eukaryotic small subunit ribosomal RNA", at positions 1470 to 1796 of the family's 1831-position model. The record is from RNAcentral.
CCCUUAGAUGUUAUGGGCCGCACGCGUGCUACACUGAGUGGAUCAGCGGGUCAGGUUGCGCGAAAGUGUUUCCUAAUCUUUAAAUCCGCUCGUGAUGGGGAUUGACGGUUGCAAUUUUCCGUCAUGAACGAGGAAUACCUUGUAAGCGCGGGUCAUCAUCCCGCGCUGAAUACGUCCCUGCCCUUUGUACACACCGCCCGUCGCUCCUACCGAUUGAGUGGUCCGGUGAGGCUUUGGGAUCUGAGCGGAAAGAGCGUUUCGCUGUUUCUGCCCGGAAAACUCAGUCGAACCUUAUCAUUUAGAGGAAGGAGAAGUCGUAACA